Molecule: ribosomal RNA, 253 nt
Filed under: uncultured bacterium
Lineage: Bacteria
Description: partial 16S ribosomal RNA
Rfam family: Bacterial small subunit ribosomal RNA
Source: RNAcentral
UACGUAGGGGGCGAGCGUUGUCCGGAAUCAUUGGGCGUAAGGCGCGUGUAGGCGGCUCGGUAAGUCCGGUGUGAAACCUUGGGGCUCAACCCCAAGCCUGCACUGGAUACUGUCGAGCUUGAGUCCGGGAGGGGAGAGCGGAAUUCCUAGUGUAGCGGUGAAAUGCGCAGAUAUUAGGAAGAACACCGGUGGCGAAGGCGGCUCUCUGGAACGGUACUGACGCUGAGACGCGAAAGCGUGGGGAGCGAACAGG